GGUCAAGCUAGGAAGGGCACACGGUGGAUGCCUUGGCGUCGAGAGGCGAUGAAGGACGUGGGCAGCUGCGAAAAGCUUCGGGGAGUGGCUAACACACUUUGAUCCGAAGAUAUCCGAAUCGGGAAACCGUCUGGGGUCAUACCCAGAAGUUCAACGCUGAAUUCAUAGGCGUUGGAUAGCCAACCCAGGGAACUGAAACAUCUAAGUACCUGGAGGAAAAGACAUCAACCGAGACUCCCCUAGUAGCGGCGAGCGAACGGGGACUAGCCUAAACCAUACCAAUGUAAGCUUAGGGGCGUUGUUGGUAUGGGGUCGUGGGUCCAGUGGGAGAGCGCCCUAAUGCUCUCACGGAGUUACAAAACCAAACGUUAGAUGAACGAUCUGGAAAGGUCGGCGAUACGAGGUGACAGCCCUGUAGUCGAAAGCGUUUGGUCUCUGCACUGGUACCCGAGUACCACGGGGCACGUGGAAUCCUGUGGGAAUCUGGGAGGACCAUCUUCCAAGGCUAAGUACUACUCGACGACCGAUAGUGAACUAGUACCGUGAGGGAAAGGUGAAAAGCACCCCGGCAAGGGGAGUGAAAUAGUACCUGAAACCGUGUGUCUACAAGCAGUCGAAGCACUAUGCCCUUCGGGGAAUGUGCGACGGCGUACCUUUUGCAUAAUGGGCCUACGAGUUACGCUUUGUUGCGAGGUUAAGCCGAUAGGUGAAGCCGUAGGGAAACCGAGUCCAAAUAGGGCGAACUUAGUAGCAGGGCGUAGACCCGAAACCGAGCGAUCUAUCCUUGGGCAGGUUGAAGCGUGGGUAAAACUGCGUGGAGGACCGAACCCACUGAAGUUGAAAAUUCAGGGGAUGACCUGAGGAUCGGAGUGAAAGGCUAAUCAAGCUCGGAGAUAGCUGGUUCUCCGCGAAAUAUAUUGAGGUAUAGCGUCUAGUGAAUUGCACCGGAGGUAGAGCACUGGAUGGGCUAGGGGUCCUACCAGAUUACCAAACCCAACCAAACUCCGAAUGCCGGUGACAACUGCUAGGCAGUCAGGCUGCGGGUGAUAAGGUCCGUAGCCAAGAGGGAAAGAGCCCAGAUCGACAGCUAAGGUCCCUAAUCCACACUAAGUGUGAAAGGAUGUGGGGGCGCUCAGACAGCCAGGAGGUUGGCUUAGAAGCAGCCAUCCUUUAAAGAAAGCGUAACAGCUCACUGGUCGAGCGAACCCGCGCCGAAAAUGUAACGGGGCUAAGUGUGGUACCGAAGCUUCGGGUUCUAAUUUAUUAGAGCGGUAGCGGAGCAUUCUCAGGCAGAUACAAGGUGUACCGUAAGGAGCACUGUCGGGCAUGAGAAGAGCUUAUGUAGGCAUGAGUAGCGAUAAAGAGGGUGAGAAACCCUCUCGCCGUAAGCCCAAGGUUUCCCAGGGAAGAAUAAUUCGCCUGUGGGUUAGUCGGCCCCUAAGUGGAGCCCGAAAGGGGUACAUGAUGGGAAGCAGGUUAAUAUUCCUGCACCACUGAGGAAUCCAUUGAUCUAAGCAGGGACGGAGAAGGAUAGGCCGAUCGGGCGAAUGGAAGUGCCCGUUCAAGCAGGUAGGAGGUUUCCGUAGGAGGCGAUAGCCACAAACGCGGAAACAUUACUCCGAGACGUGAUGAGGUGGAGCUCCGGCUCCGUAACUCGGUGAUUCCAUGCUUCCAAGAAAAGCUGCGUAGUGAGGGUCUUCAGUGACCGUACCGCAAACCGACUCAGGUGGGCGGGGUGAGAAUCCCAAGGCGCGUGAGAGAACACUGGCUAAGGAACUCGGCAAAUUGACACCGUAACUUCGGGAGAAGGUGUGCCCGUGUCCGUGACGAGCUUUUCGCUCCGAGCGGGUGUGGGUUGCAGAGAAACGAGGGUUGCGACUGUUUACCAAAAACACAGGACUCUGCGAACUUGUAAGAGGACGUAUAGGGUCUGACGCCUGCCCGGUGCUGGAAGGUUAAGAGGAGUUGUUAGCUUCGGCGAAGCAGUGAAUCGAAGCCCCAGUAAACGGCGGCCGUAACUAUAACGGUCCUAAGGUAGCGA
RNAcentral lists this ribosomal RNA (2041 nucleotides) under Deltaproteobacteria bacterium. RNAcentral's name for it is "partial 23S ribosomal RNA". It matches the Rfam family "Bacterial large subunit ribosomal RNA", at positions 1 to 1962 of the family's 2925-position model. Lineage: Bacteria; Pseudomonadati; Myxococcota; Myxococcia. The record is from RNAcentral.